CCUACGGGGAGCUGCAGUGGGGAAUAUUGGACAAUGGGCGAAAGCCUGAUCCAGCCAUGCCGCGUGUGUGAAGAAGGCCUUCGGGUUGUAAAGCACUUUCAGUGGGGAAGAAAGCCUUGGGGCUAAUACCCUCGAGGAAGGACAUCACCCACAGAAGAAGCACCGGCUAACUCCGUGCCAGCAGCCGCGGUAAUACGGAGGGUGCGAGCGUUAAUCGGAAUUACUGGGCGUAAAGCGCGCGUAGGCGGUCUGAUAAGCCGGUUGUGAAAGCCCCGGGCUCAACCUGGGAACGGCAUCCGGAACUGUCAGGCUAGAGUGCAGGAGAGGAAGGUAGAAUUCCCGGUGGAGCGGUGAAAUGCGUAGAGAUCGGGAGGAAUACCAGUGGCGAAGGCGGCCUUCUGGACUGACACUGACGCUGAGGUGCGAAAGCGUGGGUAGCAAACAGGAUUAGAUACCCUAGUAGUC
RNAcentral lists this ribosomal RNA (465 nucleotides) under Vreelandella stevensii. RNAcentral's name for it is "partial 16S ribosomal RNA". It matches the Rfam family "Bacterial small subunit ribosomal RNA", at positions 338 to 795 of the family's 1533-position model. Lineage: Bacteria; Pseudomonadati; Pseudomonadota; Gammaproteobacteria; Oceanospirillales; Halomonadaceae. The record is from RNAcentral.